UUUACUUUAUUAAGACGGAAGGAGGGUCAGUACAAGAAAAUAGAGUUCUAGCGGCAGUUUUCGACCCGGCUGUUUGGCGACUGCCGCUACAAUUGACGCCUCUCCCGCUGAAAAUAUUCACGCCUCUCCCGCCCUUCUCUCUCUCUCUCUCUCUGAAUCAUCCCUCUCUCGCUCUGUCUCUCACUCAGUCGUCUCUCUCCUUUUCUCUCUCUCUUAGUCUGAAUCAUUCCUCUCGCGCUCUCUCUCGCUCUCAGUCGUCUCUCUAUUUCUCUCCCUCAGUCGUCUCUCUUUCUCCCGCUCUCUCUCGCUAAGUUCUCUCUCUCUUGCACUCGUGCUCGCUCUAUCUCUAUCUCUCUCACACACGAUUGGACAUCAGCGAUUCUCUCUGUCUCUCACGGUCUCUCUCUCAGAUACAUCCACAGCAUUUGAUUCACAAUUUAGUCUAAGUACUGAGGAACUCUAAAGGACAGCUUCGAUUUGCCAAGGAGUCAGCCAACUACAUGUGCGAUGGCAAUAAUUUGGUAAACCUAGCUUGGUGGUAAUAAUUUGGUAAACCUUUGUUAUUGUUAUUGUUAUUCAAUGUAUAUAAAGUGGCUUGCAACUAACAGAGCACCACUGCCUUAUCAACAUAAUUCUUGUUUCGUAGUUGCUGUUGGAACCCUGUUUUCUGAAUUAAUUCUUGACAAAUUUUCAAUUAAAUUACGUAUUCUGAAAGACAAAACCCUUAUUACUGUAGUAUUUUUUAAUAUUUUUGGGAAUUUGUGACACUAAUCGAUUCAGUGAAGUUACCGGUACAAGAAUAGUCUUGUACAUGGGGUUGGUACCAUGUCCAUGGAUGAUUUCUGAUACACAAAUCUUCUAAACAAAUAUGUAAGCAAAAUCCUUGCUGUUUUCUUUUCUGAAGAAAAGAGGGGGAUGACAAUAUAUAGAACCAGUGGAACCACCGCUAUAUAAAUGUGCCUUCAGAUCACACAACAAAGAUUUUUGGAACCAUCCAUUGCAGCUUUGUUCAUGAUUAAAAAAUGAGGGAAAGAAGUCUUUCUGAAGUUUCUAACAAGAACAGGUAAAGAAUUACUCCAAAUAUUGAUUGCUCUAUGAAACCUGCGGUAAUGAUGUUCCACACAAAAGGAACGGUCCUGCAUACAGAAGAAAACAAUGAAUUCACAUGGCCACACUCACACACAAAAAUGAAAAUUACUAGACUUUAAAGUAGAUCCUAUCAUAGGAUCGGUGGUGGCUGCUGCCAUGGCGGCAUCCCCUCCACACAAAAGGAACGGUCCUGCAUACAGAAGAAAACAAUGAAUUCACAUGGCCACACUCACACACAAAAAUGAAAAUUACUAGACUUUAAAGUAGAUCCUAUCAUAGGAUCGGUGGUGGCUGCUGCCAUGGCGGCAUCCCCUCUAAUGCAAAAUGCUGAUUUUGCUCUUCGAGAAGAGGAUGCUGUGAAGUCUGGAAUAGAGGAAAUCAAGAAGAAAUUGGGGAUUUUUGUCAAGAGCAUUGAGGAUCUGGGUGAGCAUGCUGACAAGUGCAGCAGGGAUAUAAGAAGGGCAAGAACAGUAGUCCUGCAGAGGAUUAUUAAGAAUCCCAGCAACUGAUACAGAUUUUUGGUAUGCUCUAUUGAUUUCAAGCUAAAUACAUGUUAAGUUCUGGAUCUUGGAUCUAAACUUGGAUGGUUUCCAACUUUCAUCUCUUCAUGUCUAAAUGUAUUUAUUGUUUUAACAUUAAUAUUGUUCUUUGAUUCACAAAAUUGUGGAUGGUGAGUGUUACAUUCUUUUACAACCAUGUUUAUUA
Nelumbo nucifera (sacred lotus) is the source of this 1794-nucleotide non-coding RNA. Lineage: Eukaryota; Viridiplantae; Streptophyta; Magnoliopsida; Proteales; Nelumbonaceae. The record is from RefSeq and is a predicted model, not a curated record.